CUCGUCGCACGCGGUCGGCGUCAGGAACUGGGCGCCGGGGCUGUUUAGAAAACCGGAAGUGCCUGUGGCAAACUUGCCAGUCCUAGCCCAGCGUGAGUCAGAACCGGUCGCUGGUUAAGGGUCCUCGGGCCGGUGCGUCUUCCUUCAAACGUUCUUAUGACUAACGUGGUACGUCACAUCCAACCUUGAGAGUCAGACCUCUGUCGGGACUACCACUGGACCUUGGGGCAAGUUACUUUACGUUUCUCAGCAUUAAAUCAUUUAGAUAAAUAUUUUUUGAGGCAGUGUGGGCACGCAGUAUGAAACGAGGGAAAGUGAAAACUUGAGACAAGAAUCAACGAAACAAAGUUGGUUCUUUUUGUAUUUCUGUUGUCUGCGGACCCAGUCAGCAAAAGUUAAUCGUGCUGUACGUGUAUGUAUUACUAUACGUUUUAACCAUUUCACAUAUCUUAUAGAAUUUUUGCCCAUGAUUGAGGUAGCAUUCACGGAUAAACAUGUUCUGAUCUACAAGUGCCAGCUGGGUUGAGACAGCGCCGAAUGAAACAAGACGACAGCUUCCUUAGUUUAAAUCCAGGGAGGAGAGACACAAGCGCCUGUACAGGUCGGGUGAUGGUGACGGAAGCACAGUCCUUGAAGUGGGGAAGCAAGCCAGGCCUUACCAAGGGUAAGACCAUUCCUGGCAGAGGGAACAGCAAUUGCAAAAGGCCUCAAGGGCCUGUGCUGCAGUAAUAGUUGAUCACUUACUCUGAGGAAAGCCAGCUGUCACAUCAUGAGGACACUUAAGCAGCCUCAUGGAGUCUCAUGUGGCAAGGAAGUGAGGCCUGCCAGCAGCCACGUGAGUAAGCAACCUUCCCAUGACUGGUCUCGGCCAACAGUUUGACUGCAACCUUUUGAGAUGUUGAGCUACAACCACCCAGCUAAGCUACUUUGAAUCCUUGGCCCACAGAAACUGAGAUACUGUGCAACCUCUGGAAAGAUAUGUGAACUCUCUGAGCCUCAAGAAUCCCCUCUCUAAAAUGGAGAUAGUGUUCACCUUAACGGAUUGUUGUGCCAUGUGAAGUGCAGAGAACCUAGGAACUAGAUUCAACAGACACUAUUACAAUUUAAAGUACUUCUUUUCUUGGAAAAUAAAUAUUAAACCUGCACACUUGAGUUGAAAUCUUGUACAAAUUCCUAUCUUUGUUCUCCUCCCCCCAUUCAUCUUUGUGACCUUUUCUUUAGGAAGAAGAAUGCAAAUAUUUGUAGACUUAAAACUAGUUACCGUAGCAACUAAAAAAAAAAAA
Long non-coding RNA from Myotis davidii, 1283 nucleotides. RefSeq lists it as uncharacterized. The record is from RefSeq and is a predicted model, not a curated record. Lineage: Eukaryota; Metazoa; Chordata; Mammalia; Chiroptera; Vespertilionidae. The transcript is spliced from 3 exons.